RNAcentral lists this Y RNA (113 nucleotides) under Aotus nancymaae (Ma's night monkey). Its description in RNAcentral is "Y RNA (ENSANAG00000003285.1)". It matches the Rfam family "Y RNA". Rfam says of the family: Y RNAs are components of the Ro ribonucleoprotein particle (Ro RNP), in association with Ro60 and La proteins. The Y RNAs and Ro60 and La proteins are well conserved, but the function of the Ro RNP is not known. Lineage: Eukaryota; Metazoa; Chordata; Mammalia; Primates; Aotidae. The record is from Rfam by way of RNAcentral.
GACUGGACCCAAGGUAGUGAGUUACCUCGAUUGAUGGUUCACAGUCAGUUACAGACUGAACUCUUUGUUCUACCCUUUUCUCCCUCCUCACUACUGCACUUGACUAGUCUUAA